This 464-nucleotide ribosomal RNA is filed under the name uncultured bacterium. RNAcentral describes it as "bacterial SSU rRNA". It matches the Rfam family "Bacterial small subunit ribosomal RNA", at positions 917 to 1382 of the family's 1533-position model. The record is from RNAcentral.
GGGCCCGCACAAGCGGCGGAGCAUGUUGCUUAAUUCGAUGCAACGCGAAGAACCUUACCUAGGUUGAACUACGCAGGAAAAGCUGCAGAGAUGCAGUGUCCGAAAGGGUCUGCGAUAGGUGGUGCAUGGCUGUCGUCAGCUCGUGUCGUGAGAUGUUGGGUUAAGUCCCGCAACGAGCGCAACCCUUAUUCCAUGUUGCCAGCGGGUAAUGCCGGGGACUCGUGGAAGACUGCCGGGGUCAACUCGGAGGAAGGUGGGGAUGACGUCAAGUCAUCAUGCCCCUUAUGCCUAGGGCUGCAAACAUGCUACAAUGGCCGAUACAAAGGGCUGCUAUUCCGCGAGGAUGAGCGAAUCCCAUAAAGUCGGUCUCAGUUCGGAUUGGAGUCUGCAACUCGACUCCAUGAAGUCGGAGUCGCUAGUAAUCCCGGAUCAGCAAUGCCGGGGUGAAUACGUUCCCGGGCCUU